AGAUUGAACGCUGGCGGAAUGCUUUACACAUGCAAGUCGAACGGCAGCACGGGACUCAGGCAACUGAGCCCUGGUGGCGAGUGGCGAACGGGUGAGUAACAUAUCGGAACGUACCCAGUCGUGGGGGAUAACUCUCCGAAAGGAGAGCUAAUACCGCAUACGUCCUGAGGGAGAAAGCGGGGGACCUAAGGGUAACUGAGGGCCUCGCGCGAUUGGAGCGGCCGAUAUCGGAUUAGCUAGUUGGUGAGGUAAAGGCUCACCAAGGCGACGAUCCGUAGCGGGUCUGAGAGGACGACCCGCCACACUGGAACUGAGACGACGGUCCAGACCUACCGUACGGGAGCGAGCGAAGGUGGGGAAUUUUUGGACUAAGUACGGGGGGAAACCCUGACGUCCGA
This 398-nucleotide ribosomal RNA is filed under the name uncultured soil bacterium. RNAcentral's name for it is "bacterial SSU rRNA". It matches the Rfam family "Bacterial small subunit ribosomal RNA", at positions 26 to 394 of the family's 1533-position model. The record is from RNAcentral.